CUGUAUGUACCAACCAAACAAGUUACAUGACUAUGAUUUUAGUUGCUAUAGUUACAAAGCCUUCUCUGGUGAACGUGACUUCUGUUCACAAGUGUUGGCCGACAGGUAAUUACUCUGACCAAAUUGUUUAUCAUUGCUGAAAUGAUAGAAAACCUUACAUUUUUGGUUUGACUUCUGUUAUGCCGAGGGUUCGGAGCUUAUUUAAUUUGCACCCUGAUGGAAGAUCCCUGCAAGUCCCUGCAUCCAUAUUCCAUCAUCUAAUGGAAAGCCUUCCCAGAAUGAAGGUUGUUAUGGCAGCACAACGAGGACUGACUCUCUAUUAAUGCCAAUCAUUGGACGUUAGGGUGUCCACAUAUAGUACUUCUGGUCAUAUAGAGUAUAUCUACCUAUAAAAUGAGAUCUGGUAAAUGGGCUUAUAACAUUCAGAGAGUAUUUGCUUGUGAAAAGUGCUAUUUUUAGUCGGUGAGGGCAGACAGAUGCAGAGGCCACAUUAUGCUCAUUACUGCAUUUCUAAUUUCAUAAAUCCUUAUGUGGCUACACUUAAUGGUCAGCAGCCGUGAACACAGACUGCGGGAGUUAAACCCCCCUCUACGUGGAACAGCAGUCAGGUGUGCCGGGGGAAUGUGGGUAUGAGCGAGAAAACAUGUUCCUACAAGAAAUCUCAUCCGGACAUGAAUUGCCUUGACCUUUCAGUUGCUAGGGUGCACUGUUAAUUCUAAUAUGUAACUAUGACAACCCCCGCCUCUGCGAGCUGCUAUGACGCACUGGCCAAAUCGAUAGCACGUUGUUCGUAAAUGUGCCCUGGCCUAACCUCUGGGUUCUUCAAUUUAUUUUCAUUCACACCGCCUCACACACACACACGGAGCCAGACAAGUCAUCACUUAGCGGUGACUUGCUUUUCUGCUCAUCACAGACAUUAUCUCAAGGAUGUUUUCUGCAGCAAUCAGAGGCUCAGCGUGCGAUUGGUUCUGUCCUAUUAUUGGGAGUUGCUGUAACUCACCGACACAAGUGGCUUCCUUUUAUUUUUGAGAAAUACUCGUACAGCCAAUCAAUAAGCUGUAGAGGGGGAUCCAUUCAGGAGCAGAAAUUCCACCCAAACUCUCGAUUGUUUUUCAGUCUCAUCCGACGCGUUGAAAUCGAAUGCACACCAUUGAUAGAUGAGAAAAGCGCUUCAGGCUCGAAGCCCGGAGGAGGAUUUAAGCGAGGGGUGUAUUCCAACACACGCUCGCACACGUGUAAGCGUAUGUGCCCUGGCACUGGGCUCGUGUCUUCAUUUUUGGCCUCCAACAUAUUGGGAACACGCUGCGUAAAUAUCUUCAACUCUGUCGGAGAGUUAAAGAAAGAGAGAAAAACUGUCAGUGUUGUGGACGAGGAAUGAGCUGUUGAGUAACAGUCUAAAGGUUAAAGUAAUAAAGAUGGAGAAUUCAUGCUU
Long non-coding RNA from Labeo rohita (rohu), 1432 nucleotides. RefSeq lists it as uncharacterized. The transcript is spliced from 2 exons. The record is from RefSeq and is a predicted model, not a curated record. Lineage: Eukaryota; Metazoa; Chordata; Actinopteri; Cypriniformes; Cyprinidae.